Molecule: long non-coding RNA, 608 nt
Organism: Alexandromys fortis (reed vole)
Lineage: Eukaryota; Metazoa; Chordata; Mammalia; Rodentia; Cricetidae
Exons: 3
Source: RefSeq, a predicted model, not a curated record
GAGCAGAAUGAAAAGAAAUCAUAGAGAUAAAAGAUUUCUAGGAGUGGGGAAGUAGAACCUUAGAGACGAGGGACUUUGGAAGUGUAGCAAGUUUAGGUAUAGAUAUUUGGGGAUCGUUUGUUUGUGGCAAUAGUAGCUAUUAGCCAUGUGUGAGAAUUUGGAAAUUAAGUUUGCCAAUUUUGGCCAUUGAUUUGUACCGAGGCCGGGUUGUUGCAAUAAGUUGCUGAGUUCAUGGAGGAAGAGAGAGAGAGGCUCACAAAGAGAAACACUGUGAGGAGCCGGAGACAAAAUGCACACUUUAAAGGAAAAAGAGCACUUGGAUCUGGUGUUCGCCAUGAAUCCUCUGAUCUUAGCAGCUAGAUACUGUUCUUCUUCCAUUUUAUGCUCCAGAAAAAUGGAGGCUCAGUGGGGGUCAUCACUCGUCUGAAGCGGCAUAGACAAACGGGACUCCCGAGCCCUGCCUUUAACAGUUACUGAGCUGCUGAACCGCCUGUGAAGGAGGAAUUCAAGGCUCAAGGACCGAGGCCAUGCAGUUGGACCAGAGCUAGGAUUCUCGACUUCAAGUCCGGUGCUGUUUCUGCUAUGAGCUGGUACGUGCCAAUUCCUGU